UACAUGGGGUGCAAACGUUGCUCGGAAUCAUUGGGCGUAAAGCGCGCGUAGGCGGUUACUUAAGUCGAAUGUGAAAGCCCUCGGCUUAACUGAGGAAGUGCAUCCGAAACUGAGUAGCUAGAGUACGAAAGAGGGUCGCGGAAUUCCCGGUGUAGAGGUGAAAUUCGUAGAUAUCGGGAGGAACACCGGUGGCGAAGGCGGCGACCCGGGUCGAGACUGACGCUGAGGCGCGAAAGCGUGGGGAGCAAACGGG
RNAcentral lists this ribosomal RNA (253 nucleotides) under uncultured bacterium. RNAcentral's name for it is "partial 16S ribosomal RNA". It matches the Rfam family "Bacterial small subunit ribosomal RNA", at positions 524 to 776 of the family's 1533-position model. The record is from RNAcentral.